CCAAUAGCGUAUAUUAAAGUUGUUGCAGUUAAAAAGCUCGUAGUUGAACCUCGGGAUCAAUGGAUCGGUCAUGCCAUCGGUAUGUACUGGUCUCAUUGGUUCUCACCUUCUAAGGAACCAUGAUGUCAUUCAUUUGAUGUUGUGGGGAAUUAGGACUGUUACCUUGAAAAAAUUAGAGUGUUUAAAGCAGGCUAACGCUUGAAUACAUUAGCAUGGAAUAAUGAAAUAGGACAUCGCAUUCUAUUUUGUUGGUUUCUAGGAUCGAUGUAAUGAUUAAUAGGGAUAGUUGGGGGCAUUAGUAUUCAAUUGUCAGAGGUGAAAUUCUUGGAUUUAUUGAAGACUAACUACUGCGAAAGCAUUUGCCAAGGAUGUUUUCAUUAAUCAAGAACGAAAGUUAGGGGAUCGAAGACGAUCAGAUACCGUCGUAGUCUUAACCAUAAACUAUGCCGACUAGGGAUCGGAUGAUGUUGAUUUUUUAAUGACUCAUUCGGCACCUUACG
Molecule: ribosomal RNA, 500 nt
Filed under: uncultured Glomeromycotina
Lineage: Eukaryota; Fungi; Glomeromycota
Description: partial small subunit ribosomal RNA
Rfam family: Eukaryotic small subunit ribosomal RNA
Source: RNAcentral